ACGAACGCUGGCGGCGUGCUUAACACAUGCAAGUCGAACGGAAAGGCCCUGCUUUUGUGGGGUGCGCGAGUGGCGAACGGGUGAGUAACACGUGAGUAACCUGCCCUUGACUUUGGGAUAACUUCCGGAAACUGGGGCUAAUACCGGGUAGGAGCUCCUGCUGCCUGGUGGGGGUUGGAAAGUUUCGGCGGUUGGGGAUGGACUCGCGGCUUAUCAGCUUGUUGGUGGGGUAGUGGCUUACCAAGGCUUUGACGGGUAGCCGGCCUGAGAGGGUGACCGGCCACAUUGGGACUGAGAUACGGCCCAGACUCCUACGGGAGGCAGCAGUGGGGAAUAUUGCACAAUGGGCGGAAGCCUGAUGCAGCAACGCCGCGUGCGGGAUGACGGCCUUCGGGUUGUAAACCGCUUUCGCCUGUGACGAAGCGUGAGUGACGGUAAUGGGUAAAGAAGCACCGGCUAACUACGUG
Molecule: ribosomal RNA, 467 nt
Filed under: uncultured bacterium
Lineage: Bacteria
Description: partial 16S ribosomal RNA
Rfam family: Bacterial small subunit ribosomal RNA
Source: RNAcentral